UGAUUUUGACAGCCCGAGAUUCAUCAGAUUGUCAUUCACGCGCGAUGUAUUUUCUGUCGUUCUACCUAUUUGUGUUUGCUAGUGCUCUUAUCAAGCUAAGUUAAAGAACAUAAUCACGUCACUGCAAACGGGGUGAACGUUACAACUUUCCUCCCAGUACCACCAUCUGCGUCAUUCUACACAGGAGGCCAUCAGGAGUUUUGACCCGCCGAAUGAUCCGUACACAGGACUACCCCGUGGAGUUUUCUUGUACGGAGCCCACACUGUGUACGGAGCCGGAGAUAAGCGCAUUGCCGUAGCAUUCUACACUGUUUACGAUCUCACACGGACAUGUUUUGGGAGUUGUUGCUGUCUGCCUGGCGUUUUAUCUCCCGUUGUACUGUCAUACUUUUCUCCUUGACUCUACCAAGUUUCCCUUGCCACCAUGCUAAACUUCAAGCACAAGAGGGACCGCACGUGAUCGAUGUUCUUCCACCCAGCGGACCGGCGUUUCAAAUUAAGGCUACUGAACUAGACCCAGUCGACAAAAUUUAUGAAAAAAUAUUGGAUGUCACAAGAAUGACGAAGACUUCGUUCAAAAUAUUCACCCCCGGCAAAAAAGGUUCGUCAUCCUUGUCAGGGAGGAUCUAGAAGUAAGACCACAGCGACCAAACCAACAUUCAAGAACAACUGGUGAUUCGACUCUUCAUGGCGAGGAGACACGUGACUGCGGAGGCGCUUGCAACUGUCACAAUUUCACGUCAAACAAAGAGGAGAACUGUGAUCUUCCAGUGGGUCGCAUCAAAGAUGCUAUUCGAUCAAAACGUGCGGUCGCUGACGAUGUGCCGUCUUGAGUGCCGUUCAAAAGGAAUUGGAACCUUUUGCAUGGACCGAGACCCCGCGCAGCAAGAUUCUCCAACACGUCACCUGCACGCUUGAAUCCUCCCCACUGCGACCGAUGCCCCGUUCUCGCGCACUGUCUAAACCGUCCCCAUUGCAACCUUUAUAUUACGACAAGUACAUGUGACUGCGGUUUGACUACAUUUUCCCACGAACAAUAGAUUCAAUGGCUUAAUCAUAUUGUGCUAGGGUACUGUCAUAUGAUAUUUGUAACACCAUAAUUCUUGAAAUGUGUAGUCUCAGAUGUCGUGAAGUUGUGAUGCCACAUGUUGCCAGUAGUCUCUGAUUGUUCUUUCUCUCGUGUUCAUGUUUGACCACUGAGUUUAUAUAAUAGAUACAAGUAUAAUCAAGCUAAAUAUGAACUCCAAAGGGUCCAUCCCUCUGUACAUUGCAUAAUUUGUAUUGUAACCAGUAUUUUUAUGUGUUCAGUUGUAUAGUUUUGCCCUUUUCCUUACCAAUCAAUACACCUAAUUGAAAUGGACUAA
Molecule: long non-coding RNA, 1364 nt
Organism: Branchiostoma floridae (Florida lancelet)
Lineage: Eukaryota; Metazoa; Chordata; Leptocardii; Amphioxiformes; Branchiostomatidae
Exons: 3
Source: RefSeq, a predicted model, not a curated record